Molecule: ribosomal RNA, 433 nt
Filed under: uncultured bacterium
Lineage: Bacteria
Description: partial 16S ribosomal RNA
Rfam family: Bacterial small subunit ribosomal RNA
Source: RNAcentral
AACGAACGCUGGCGGCAUGCCUAACACAUGCAAGUCGAACGAGACCUUCGGGUCUAGUGGCGCACGGGUGCGUAACGCGUGGGAACCUGCACUUAGGUUCGGAAUAACUCUCCGAAAGGGGUGCUAAUACCGGAUAAUGUCUUAGGACCAAAGAUUUAUCGCCUUUGGAUGGGCCCGCGUUGGAUUAGCUAGUUGGUAGGGUAAAAGCCUACCAAGGCGACGAUCCAUAACUGGUCUGAGAGGAUGAUUAGCCACACCGGGACUGAGACACGGCCCAGACUCCUACGGGAUGCAGCAGUGGGUAAUAUUGCACCACGGGCGAAAUCCUGAUCCAGCAAUGCCGCGUGAGUGAUGAAGGCCUUAGGGUUGUAAAGCUCUUUUACCCGGGAUGAUAAUGACGGUACCGGGAGAAUAAGCUCCGGCUAACUCCGUG